This 287-nucleotide ribosomal RNA is filed under the name uncultured bacterium. RNAcentral's name for it is "partial 16S ribosomal RNA". It matches the Rfam family "Bacterial small subunit ribosomal RNA", at positions 773 to 1060 of the family's 1533-position model. The record is from RNAcentral.
GUGGAUUAGAUACCCCGGUAGUCCACACCGUAAACGUUGGGCGCUAGGUGUGGGAUCCAUUCCACGGGUUCCGUGCCGCAGCUAACGCAUUAAGCGCCCCGCCUGGGGAGUACGGCCGCAAGGCUAAAACUCAAAGGAAUUGACGGGGGCCCGCACAAGCGGCGGAGCAUGCGGAUUAAUUCGAUGCAACGCGAAGAACCUUACCUGGGUUUGACAUACCGAGAAAUCCUCCAGAGAUGGGGGGUCCGUAAGGGUUCGGUACAGGUGGUGCACGGCCGUCGCCAACU